This 494-nucleotide ribosomal RNA is filed under the name uncultured bacterium. Its description in RNAcentral is "bacterial SSU rRNA". It matches the Rfam family "Bacterial small subunit ribosomal RNA", at positions 30 to 518 of the family's 1533-position model. The record is from RNAcentral.
AUUGAACGCUGGCGGAAUGCUUUACACAUGCAAGUCGAACGGCAGCACGGGGGCAACCCUGGUGGCGAGUGGCGAACGGGUGAGUAAUACAUCGGAACAUGCCCAGUCGUGGGGGAUAACGUAGCGAAAGCUACGCUAAUACCGCAUACGAUCUACGGAUGAAAGCGGGGGAUCGCAAGACCUCGCGCGAUUGGAGCGGCCGAUGGCAGAUUAGGUAGUUGGUGGGGUAAAGGCUCACCAAGCCUUCGAUCUGUAGCUGGUCUGAGAGGACGACCAGCCACACUGGGACUGAGACACGGCCCAGACUCCUACGGGAGGCAGCAGGGGGGAAUUUUGGACAAUGGGCGAAAGCCUGAUCCAGCCAUUCCGCGUGCAGGAUGAAGGCCCUCGGGUUGUAAACUGCUUUUGUACGGACGAAACGGCCUUUUCUAAUACAGAGGGCUAAUGACGGUACCGUAAGAAUAAGCACCGGCUAACUACGUGCCAGCAGCCGC